RNAcentral lists this ribosomal RNA (172 nucleotides) under uncultured bacterium. RNAcentral's name for it is "partial 16S ribosomal RNA". It matches the Rfam family "Bacterial small subunit ribosomal RNA", at positions 1322 to 1500 of the family's 1533-position model. The record is from RNAcentral.
GAAGCUGGAUUCGCUAGUAAUCGCGCAUCAGCCACGGCGCGGUGAAUACGUUCCCGGGCCUUGUACACACCGCCCGUCAAGCCAUGGAAGCCGGGGGUGCCUGAAGUGCGCUGCCGCAAGGAGCGCCCUAGGGUAAAAACCGGUGACUGGGGCUAAGUCGUAACAAGGUACC